Molecule: transfer RNA, 82 nt
Filed under: Perkinsus marinus ATCC 50983
Lineage: Eukaryota; Perkinsozoa; Perkinsida; Perkinsidae
Rfam family: tRNA
About the family: Transfer RNA (tRNA) molecules are approximately 80 nucleotides in length. Their secondary structure includes four short double-helical elements and three loops (D, anti-codon, and T loops).
Source: Rfam by way of RNAcentral
GUCAGUUUGGCCGAGUGGUCUAAGGCGCCAGACUCAAGUUCUGGUGGAGAAAUCAGCGUGGGUUCGAACCCCACAGCUGACA